This 325-nucleotide small nuclear RNA is filed under the name Meriones unguiculatus (Mongolian gerbil). RNAcentral describes it as "7SK RNA (ENSMUGG00000012706.1)". It matches the Rfam family "7SK RNA". From Rfam's summary of the family: 7SK was discovered as an abundant small nuclear RNA in the mid-70s but a possible function has only recently been suggested. Two independent studies have found that 7SK RNA binds the CDK9/cyclin T complex (known as elongation factor P-TEFb). P-TEFb activates transcription by phosphorylating the C-terminal domain of RNA polymerase II. The record is from RNAcentral. Lineage: Eukaryota; Metazoa; Chordata; Mammalia; Rodentia; Muridae.
AGAUGUGGUGAUGAUCUGGUGACACCUGUCACCCCACCCAUCGCCCAGGCUGAUUUCCAUUGAUCUGGCUGGCAAGGCUAGUCUCCUCUUCCUUCCUCAUUGCUCCUGUGUAUUCCCCCUGAAGCUGAACUAUCCUCCGUCAGAAAAGAUGGACUCCAACAGAAAGGACCAUUCUUCAUUCAAGGGUCUAUGAGUAGCUGAACUUCUCUGUUAGACCCUUCAAACAAGCUCUUAAGGUCCAUAUAAAUCUUCCAUGACUGUUGGAAGUCAAUGCAGAUUUUUCCCCAACAGAUCAAUUAACUGUAAGACUAUGCCACAACUAAGU